CUGCAAACAUCCUCGCUCUUCUGAUCUGCUGGAAAUCAGGACAGGCUGAACACUGACUGUGCUAAGGUCAUGGGUGAAUCCCCAGACCUAGUUGUUUCCCUAGGUGUGGUAUUAUAAAUUCGGGUGAUAAAC
RNAcentral lists this small nucleolar RNA (132 nucleotides) under Peromyscus maniculatus bairdii (prairie deer mouse). RNAcentral describes it as "Small nucleolar RNA SNORA72 (ENSPEMG00000028959.1)". It matches the Rfam family "Small nucleolar RNA SNORA72". Rfam says of the family: U72 is a member of the H/ACA class of snoRNAs. RNAcentral also lists the same sequence under 1 other name. Lineage: Eukaryota; Metazoa; Chordata; Mammalia; Rodentia; Cricetidae. The record is from Rfam by way of RNAcentral.